CAGUAGCCGCGGUAAUACGAAGGGUGCAAGCGUUAAUCGGAAUUACUGGGCGUAAAGCGUGCGUAGGCGGUUUGUUAAGUCUGCUGUGAAAUCCCCGGGCUCAACCUGGGAAUUGCAGUGGAUACUGGGCAACUAGAGUGUGGUAGAGGGUAGUGGAAUUCCCGGUGUAGCAGUGAAAUGCGUAGAGAUCGGGAGGAACAUCCAUGGCGAAGGCAGCUACCUGGACCAACACUGACACUGAGGCACGAAAGCGUGGGGAGCAAACAGGAUUAGAUACCCCGGUAGUCCCUGUCUCUUAUAU
This 301-nucleotide ribosomal RNA is filed under the name uncultured bacterium. Its description in RNAcentral is "partial 16S ribosomal RNA". It matches the Rfam family "Bacterial small subunit ribosomal RNA", at positions 509 to 809 of the family's 1533-position model. The record is from RNAcentral.